AUCAGCAGCUAUUGCCAAACACUUUCUUGGCUGCUAAUAGCACUUUUCCCCCUUCUUUGUGUGGCUGAUAGCAGCUAUUUAAAACGGCAACAGCGAAUCAGACGAGUCUUCCUUACUGCAAGAUCCCUUCUUCUGUUCAAAUCAUCUUCAAGAUCGACUACAAUUGGUCCGCUGUCUGCUGCAAAGGUUAUGACUGUGGGCGCAAAUUAUUUUCUUGAAAACCAGAACACGGGCCAAUGCUCAGGGGAGGUCACUGCCUCUCUCUGUGUGGCAGUAACAGACACAGAUGGUUAACAACCGGGCACAGCAUCAAAGAGCCAAGCGGCUGGAGAUGGAGAGAAAACACCCUCGUACACAGCCUCGCCUCGCCUCUCCUCGCCUCUCAUCUCUGCGCUCGUGUGAGAGAUGAUCAAAUCAUCAUAUGGAAAAAUCCAAUGUGAUCUAAGCAAGAGGCAGAAAGGUCACAGGGAGUCAGUAAAAUGGAUGAAGGCUAAUGAUUAUCUCAACCUUUAUCUAAUCAAUAAUCAUUUAUCCCACAAUAUUAUGGACACUAUAUCCCAUUUUCCAUUAACCCAGGCAGGAUGACAGAGGCUGUAUUGUUUCCUAAGGCAGCUUUAUGGCAGGGUAUGUCUGAAAGGCAGUUUUAAGGUGUGCUCUCAACUGCUCUGAACCUGUUAAGACACUCUUACGUAGUCUGGACUUAGGCAAUAAUACAUUUUUUGAAAUAUUGAGUGUUUGAAACUAUGCGACCGGAAUGGUAUAGAAUAAUAAUCGAGCAAUUUCGAAAUGGCCUACAGUUUUAGCUCCAUCAAACAGUAAAUGUGGGUUUAAUGAAAUAUCAUCACAUUACACAAAUAGUGUUUUUUUUUUUUUGUGGGAAAAUAAUACCUUAGAUCAUUUGUUAAAGCUGAAAACAAAUGUAUGUUCUUUGGUUUCUUAUUGUCUUACGAUCACGAAAACACACAUCUUCCUCUAUUAGCCUUGGUCUCUAAGGAGUUUGUAUUUGCUACCGUUAUGCUGCAGUAAUUUGUACCGUUACGGUCCAUUUGGAGUGACCCCAUCCUCUGUGACUGGGAGUGUGUCUCCUGUGUCUGUAUGCUCAGUGAUGCCAUCUUCAUCCUAACCUUAUUGCUUUUAAUGACUCCCUCUUUCCUUUCAUGAAUUCUUUAUCGAUUUCUUCUGACGUCUGGUGAAUUAAUUUUCAAUUACUGCAACAACAAACAACCAAAAAUCCCCCCCCCCCCCCCCCCGCACACACCACACUAAUGUCUGGUUCCACCUAUACGUACGAGUGUGUAUAAGCGUGUGUGUGUGUGUGUGUGUGUGUGUGUGUACAACAACGUGGCGUGGUGAUGUUCAUACUUUCCCUUCCACCGUUCUUCUUCUCUCAAUCCAUUCAGCAAAGGACUGGGGGAGAAAUAUUCAUCUUCAAAGUCCACACUCAAACACUCAUGCACAUGCAUACACACACACACACACACACACACACACGCGCACGCACACGCGCACGCACACACACACACACACACACACACACACACACACACACACACACGCACGUGCACGCACGCACAUCCUCAGACUAAAAGACACACACUAGGGAGCGUGUGAAUCCGACGGAGAGAAAUUGUACUAAAGGUCACAGUGUGCUAAUGGCCAGGCUAUCUUACAUGAAAUAAGUCCAGACACUUUCGACAGGUCUCUCAAUGUCACAGAGCAGCCUUUCGCUGCUGCCCGGCCCUGACGUGACUGGAAAGCAAGGUGAGGUGAGGUGCUCUGCGUUGAUGUGCGGUUCGUGGAGAGGCUUUUCAUUUUAUGUACUCUUCAAAAAUCCCCGACAACGUCCUGUAAGCAUAGCCAACCAGUGCAAUCUAUUCCCCCCGUCAUUUUUUAAGAAUAAUAGACACACUCCAAUACUCGAUAGACAUGCUCAGUGUUAGACUCAGGAGUACAACGUCAAUUUUAAAUACCCACAGGUCAUUAAUUACAGCAAUUAUUCAUUUUCAUUUCUCUGACAUAUAUUGACUGUUGUUUUUUUAAUGCGCCCAACCUAAGCCACCCAGAAGACUUGACAGCAAAAUAACAGAAUUGUUUAAAGUGAGCCACCAUUUUAUCAGAGCUUUGGGCAUAGUCAUAGAUUUCUUCAAAUGUGAUAUGAAAUGUGAAGAUUUUUUGUCAGUUGUCCAAUUAUUUCACAUUACUAUGACGCCAAAGCAUCAGGGAGUUUGAUGGAAAACAAUACGGAACAUAGAGUAUGUGGGCCUACUUCUGUAUUUAAACAGGAACGAGGGUUGGAUAGAUUGCAUUAAAAUGGCUAUUGAAAGUCUGAAAAUAAGAAAAUGACCGUAUGCUUUGUAAAGAUAUGUUGCAGAAUGUAAGAGACCAACUGCUUGUGUUGCUCUAUGUGUUGGCAGCUGUGUACAUGUGUGUAUUUGCCCUGCACCUAUGUCCCCGGCCUCUCGGCCUCUCGUCCUCUCUGUGUUUAUGUUGUGUGUGUGUGUACGUGUGUGUGUACAUAUGUCCGUGGAAGUUGUGUGUAUUUGUGCGUGUCCUGACCUAAUCCCGUCUCUGCUCAUCCUCCUAUGAGAGUAGCGAGAAAUACAGCUCUGUAAUUGUUAGGUCUGGCCCCCACAUUCUUUACCCAGGCGACCGCCCCGGCUCCAUGUCACUUUAACAACCUGGAAUUAUCACCACAAUGGAGAUUUCAGGUUAAAAGUGUCUCUAAGAGAGUAUAGAUACAUUUUCCAUCAAUAAAUUUCCCUCUCCGCCCAGUUUCUUCUAAGUCAAGUACCGCCCCCCCCCGCCUUGAUUGACAUUUUUACCACAAAAUUAUAACAUGUCUGUCUGUGAGAGGGGGUGUCUUCCUCCAAAAUUAGCUAACCAUCAAAAUAAAAUAGGAUAAGUUCAUCAUGGUGUCAUUUCACAGGAAUAUUGAUUCUUGCAGACAUACAGGAUUUCCCAUUAAAGCAGUAGCCAGUGUGUCUUCGGCAGACAGUAAAGCACAUGAAGGAUGCAGUGAUAUACAGGCCUGGAGAGCAUCGUUCCCCUAACAUUGUCUGUUCGCAUUUAACCUUUGCUAAACCAGCAGGUCUUCCCUUUACUCGGAGAAAGGCUGAGGACUGGAAUUGAAGACGGUAUUCAUUUCCAAAGUUAGAAUACCUUGAUAUAUAUACAGCACUAUUUGUGCACUAAGCAACAAGGUUUGUGUGUUGUUCUAAAUGUACAAUUGUCACUGAAGGAUCGUGUUACACCGUUUUGUGAAACGAUCACUAAAGACUGGGAAGACAGACACCAGACAGUCCGGCAUGAGAUGUCCUGUUUUUAUCCUUCGCUGGAGAAACUGAAGUAAAUCAACCUAGUGGACAGACACUAACGACUGUUGGAAUGCUGCCGGAACAGUAAACAACGUCAACUCCACAUCUCCCCGACACAACUUGAAUCAACAACUUUUUAGACUAGUCCCCUUCAUGUCACUCUAGCUGUUAUAUAAACUACGGAAAACUACCCCGUUCAGCUAUCUACAGGGGGAAAAUGUUUAACUACUUGUGAGACCUUUAGAACCAAUGAGGUUGAGGGGUCAGUACAGCUCAGCUCGCCCAACAAUAACCAACAAUGAACAGAGUAAUUGUUUAACCAUCCAAUCAGAUUUCGGCCAUGUGAUUCUUUAAAAAAAAAAUUAUAUCAGUGUUAAACCAAAAAAUGCAACCGCCCAAUCGGAUGCAGAGUAAGUGCUUCAACAUGCCUAUAAGAACUAAAGAGUUGCCUCAGCAGCCAACUGGUUGCCACGUAAGUGCUUCAGUAUGACUAUGGGAAAUACAGGAGAGCUUAACCAGCCCCAGUCAUACUGCUGUAAUGAAAGCCAGAUUGAAAGAGGGUUUGGAUUGAUUUCCAACAUCUUGAUUUGAUAUCCUGAAUUAAUUAUUUUAACUUGAAUAAUAUAUAAAGGAAAAUAAAUGUAGAACACUCGGGGGAACAAGAGAGGGCUUCACUACUGCUGAGUUAUCUCUUGGCCAAUCUCACUCGCAAGACUACUCUCAGCUGUGUGUGUGUGUGUGUGUGUGUGUCUGUGUCUGUGAGCGUGCGCGUCUGUGUGUGCCUGUGUGUGUGUGUCUGUGUGUGUGUGCUCGUGUGGGCGUGCAUUCACACACACGUGAGUGUGUUUGUGUAUGCGUGUGCAUGCAGAGUAUGUUUGCAACAUAUAUGUGUGUACUGCGCGAGAGUAUGUGUUCCAUAUACUGUUAUGUGAAUGUUUGCGUGUCUCUGUCAGAUGGUUGCAACAUAAGAUACAUGUGUGUAUGAGCGGCAGUUUUGUUUAGGGAAUGUAUUAGGAGUUCAACAUUAAAACGCCCACAAAUCCGUCAUUCGUUUUUAUAAAUCUAUUAAAAUACUAUAUACAUAGUGUAUUAAAAGACAAAAACUAUUGAU
This is a non-coding RNA of Oncorhynchus mykiss (rainbow trout), 4425 nucleotides long. Lineage: Eukaryota; Metazoa; Chordata; Actinopteri; Salmoniformes; Salmonidae. The record is from RefSeq and is a predicted model, not a curated record.